GGUGUUUCUGCAGCGACCAUAUAAACCUGUGU
This 32-nucleotide ribosomal RNA is filed under the name Acinetobacter baumannii 1043794. The record is from RNAcentral. Lineage: Bacteria; Pseudomonadati; Pseudomonadota; Gammaproteobacteria; Moraxellales; Moraxellaceae.